AUGGAAAAGGUAAGGUUUAAAAUCCUGGACCCAGUUUGGAGGUCUCGAGACCUAGAGCUACGGACCCCAGGGGCUGAGAGGCUGUUGUUCAGGCCGGCGGCCGCACGGUGGCGAUGUUGCGCUGUUCCAGGGCGUGGGCGCUCACGGGUGGGGCGGGGUGGCUGGGGCCGUCUGUUGUGUUCUUGCGGCUGCCUUCUGCCGCUUCCCAGUCACCUUUCAGGUAGUGAAAUCGGUGCCUGGCUCAGGGUGAGCAUCGAAGAGGUCCCCAGCCUGAAGCCUUUCCUGGCCAGCCCUUCAGACCCUUUAGUGUCCCCACCUCCAGUCUAUAGCCAGGACCUGCUGGCUCUCUGGCACUGGGGACUGGAGGAGGACAAAUUCUCAGGGCAGGCUCUAAAGAUGGCUUUGAAGACUGAGGAGGACAGAGUGGUGACCUGUGGGCCGAGAUGGGUGCCAUCUCUAAGUGGAACUUCAUCCCAUGAGACACAACCGGCCAGCCCCAGAGACAACUGUGCAGGGCCACACAUGUGGGCAUGUCUGUCCAUACACAUGUACACAGGUAUUCUGGGGGCAGAGGGGUGUGUGCGUUGGGGAUUGUGCAGUCCUGGAAUAGACAGAAUGUGCCACAAGAACAUGACCUGGCUGCAACACCAGACGCCCCCUCCCUCCCCAGGAGCACCUGAGGGGCCUACAGACCCCAAGUCAGGUGCCUGUGACCAAACAUUGCUUUUCACUUUUCAUCAGUUUUCCAGGUUUGAGGCGUAUGUGUGUGCAUGUAUGUGUGUAUGUGGGUGUGUGUGUGUGUGCACGUGUGCAUGCAUAUAUGUGCGUGCUUGUAUGUGUGGUGUGCGUGUGCAUGCAUAUAUGUGUGUGCUUGUGUGUAUGUGGUGUGCGUGUGCAUGCAUAUAUGUGCGUGCUUGUAUGUGUGGUGUGCAUGCAUUAUGUGCGUGCUUGUGUGUGUGUGGUGUGCAUGUGCAUGCAUAUAUGUGCGUGCUUGUAUGUGUGGUGUGUGCUGUGUGUGUGCAUGUAUUGCCCACCUGCAACUGCACGUUGGGGGUGUGUGUGUGCAUAAUGUGUGUGGUGUGUGUGCAUGCAUGUGUGUAUUUGUGUGUGUUGCCCACCUGCAACCACAGGUGA
RNAcentral lists this long non-coding RNA (1134 nucleotides) under Papio anubis (olive baboon). RNAcentral describes it as "lncRNA (ENSPANG00000046536.1)". The record is from RNAcentral. Lineage: Eukaryota; Metazoa; Chordata; Mammalia; Primates; Cercopithecidae.